UGCCACUUUGUCAUAUGAUUUAUUCACUUCAUUCUCGUAGUAUUCAGACAUCAUGAACAGAAUAUAUUAUUCAACAAAUACCAACAAUUACUCCUUGAAUAAUUUAGUUGAUGAUGGUUUAUUCUUGUGUUAAGGUCAGCUCCAUGUGAGGGGACUAAUGCUGGUGCACAGCCUUUUUUCUUCUGGACCUUUAUGACAAGCUGAUGUAAACCAAACCCUUUUGUAGCUCAGAGGGAGCUAAAAUGCAUCAUGAUGCAUUCUGAAUCUUGUAGAAGAAAAAAUUAUUUGGUAUCUAUGAACUAUUUAAUUACCACCUGGAUUUGAUUGUAGUAAGUAAUGUACAAACACAAAGUACAGAAUGACUAACUUCAAAUGGGUGAGUGCUAAAUACAGCAGGUAAUUGAAGUAGAAACAUGAAUAAUAAGACAGCCCAUCUGAAAAAAAAAAAAAAAGAUGAACUGAGAGAAAAAAUAGAAA
Long non-coding RNA from Pezoporus occidentalis (night parrot), 477 nucleotides. RefSeq lists it as uncharacterized. The transcript is spliced from 2 exons. Lineage: Eukaryota; Metazoa; Chordata; Aves; Psittaciformes; Psittacidae. The record is from RefSeq and is a predicted model, not a curated record.